CCCUUCGGGGUGGAUUAGUGGCGAACGGGUGAGUAACACGUGGGCAAUCUGCCCUUCACUCUGGGACAAGCCCUGGAAACGGGGUCUAAUACCGGAUACGAGACGGGGAGGCAUCUCCUCGUCUGGAAAGCUCCGGCGGUGAAGGAUGAGCCCGCGGCCUAUCAGCUUGUUGGUGGGGUAAUGGCCUACCAAGGCGACGACGGGUAGCCGGCCUGAGAGGGCGACCGGCCACACUGGGACUGAGACACGGCCCAGACUCCUACGGGAGGCAGCAGUGGGGAAUAUUGCACAAUGGGCGAAAGCCUGAUGCAGCGACGCCGCGUGAGGGAUGACGGCCUUCGGGUUGUAAACCUCUUUCAGCAGGGAAGAAGCGAAAGUGACGGUACCUGCAGAAGAAGCGCCGGCUAACUACGUGCCAGCAGCCGCGGUAAUACGUAGGGCGCAAGCGUUGUCCGGAAUUAUUGGGCGUAAAGAGCUCGUAGGCGGCUUGUCACGUCGGGUGUGAAAGCCCGGGGCUUAACCCCGG
RNAcentral lists this ribosomal RNA (526 nucleotides) under Streptomyces roseofulvus. Its description in RNAcentral is "bacterial SSU rRNA". It matches the Rfam family "Bacterial small subunit ribosomal RNA", at positions 76 to 618 of the family's 1533-position model. The record is from RNAcentral. Lineage: Bacteria; Bacillati; Actinomycetota; Actinomycetes; Kitasatosporales; Streptomycetaceae.